Zeugodacus cucurbitae (melon fly) is the source of this 809-nucleotide long non-coding RNA. RefSeq lists it as uncharacterized. The transcript is spliced from 2 exons. The record is from RefSeq and is a predicted model, not a curated record. Lineage: Eukaryota; Metazoa; Arthropoda; Insecta; Diptera; Tephritidae.
UGAAUACCGAUCAAAUAUAGAGAACAGUCUUCUUCUUAGCGAAAGUACAUUCACAAUAGUAAUGACUAAUAAAACAUUGGCGCAUACAGGAGGGUACGAAGAAAUUCGGGGAAAAGAGGUUAACGUCCUCUUUAUGAGAAUUAAAUAUGUCAUUUUGAAGUCAGACGCUAGUUGCCAAAGCUGUUUGGAGGAAGGCGAAGAGGAAUCAUCCAAGCACUUCUUCCAUCAAUGUCCAGCAUUCACCAGACUUAACAUAUCUUCGGCGAUCCCAGCGAAGUGACUGGACAUUAGCCGACUUAAGAGCUUUAUUACAUAGUCCUAGCGUUUUUUCGCAUCAUAAGAGUCUUAGUGAUCCGUUAGUAGUUUUCCGGGUGUCACAAUGGACAGUCGAAUCUGUCUAAGUGAGAUUCUCUGCAUCUGCGGAGAUCUACCCCUUAACCUAACCUAACUUAACAUAAAUAUAACAUUUUAAAUAACAUCUGAAGAACCCAAAGCGAAGUAAAGAUUAACAGCCUAAUAAUUGAAUUAUAUUUAUAAAUAAAACACAAGAUUUAUUAAGUAUGGAACGCUAAGAUUUAUUGAGAUUAAAUUUGCAAUAAACAUUCAGUAACAUUGUGUAUGAUGAACGCAUUUUAAGCAAAUUAUUGAAUUCAGUGCUACAAUGCUAUGCCUUGCAAUAGAUAAUUAGAAGCAUAUUGGUUAAUAAAUUUAUUGUGUAAGUAUAUUCUCAUUAAUUCAAGCGGUCGAAGUUGUGGGCAGUGAAGCCAAAACCUCAUCAAUAAAGCCGUCGGGAUUUUCAAUCAAAUGCA